Molecule: small RNA, 125 nt
Filed under: Marmota monax (woodchuck)
Lineage: Eukaryota; Metazoa; Chordata; Mammalia; Rodentia; Sciuridae
Source: RNAcentral
GCCAGGCACAGUGGCACAUGCCUGUAAUCCCAGCAGCUUGGGAGGCUGAGACAAGAGGAUCACUGGUUCAAAGCCAAUCUCAGCAAAAGCGAGGCACUAAGCAACUUGAUGAGAUCCUGUCUCUA